CCGUUGGAUGUUAGUGUUUAGCUUCAAGGCUUUUACUGCUGUCACUUUUGUGGAUGCUAUUCUGAUGCUAAAAGCUAUAGCGUCUAUUUUUUGCCUACUUUUCUGUUGAUGCUAAAACCCAUUUUUCUUGUAGUGUCUAAAGAAGGCACAACUUGGUUAGAUAAUUACAUGCACGUGAUAUUAAAUGUGUGGUGAUUAUAAAGUAAUUUUUCAUGUGUAUAAUAGAUUUGCGAAAGUAGAUGUUGCACCGAUAGAUUUGCAUAUGUUACCGUCGGUGCUGCACUUGGAUUUUGUGUGGUCUUCCUAACUACAUAUUUCCUUAUCUGUUAGUAUGCUUAUCAUUUUCUUUGUUUUCUACUUUUUCUUUUUUCUUUUGACUUCUGAGGGUUUUGGUCUAGUCCCCCUCUUGUAUAUACUUUUCUCUUUUUUAAUAAUAUUUUUGAGUUUGGCGGCAAAGGAUGGAGGUUUCGCGGAGUGCCAACUUAAAUGGGAUGUCGUUGUUUCCUCUUGAUGUAUGUCCUUUCUCCUGACUUAUAAUAAAAAAAACCAAAAAAUUGCAUCCCCCCUCCCCUUUCAGAACUCGAGCUUCACUAACAAAAAAAAUGAGCCUCGAUUUAAAGCAAUGAUUUGUGAAAAGCAAUAUGAUAAUCUUAUUUUAUUUUUUUGUUGUAAC
RNAcentral lists this long non-coding RNA (673 nucleotides) under Medicago truncatula (barrel medic). RNAcentral describes it as "lncRNA gene34003". Lineage: Eukaryota; Viridiplantae; Streptophyta; Magnoliopsida; Fabales; Fabaceae. The record is from RNAcentral.